This 364-nucleotide ribosomal RNA is filed under the name Escherichia coli. RNAcentral's name for it is "bacterial LSU rRNA". It matches the Rfam family "Bacterial large subunit ribosomal RNA", at positions 1 to 392 of the family's 2925-position model. RNAcentral also lists the same sequence under 2 other names. The record is from RNAcentral. Lineage: Bacteria; Pseudomonadati; Pseudomonadota; Gammaproteobacteria; Enterobacterales; Enterobacteriaceae.
GGGUUGUGAGGUUAAGCGACUAAGCGUACACGGUGGAUGCCCUGGCAGUCAGAGGCGAUGAAGGACGUGCUAAUCUGCGAUAAGCGUCGGUAAGGUGAUAUGAACCGUUAUAACCGGCGAUUUCCGAAUGGGGAAACCCAGUGUGAUUCGUCACACUAUCAUUAACUGAAUCCAUAGGUUAAUGAGGCGAACCGGGGGAACUGAAACAUCUAAGUACCCCGAGGAAAAGAAAUCAACCGAGAUUCCCCCAGUAGCGGCGAGCGAACGGGGAGCAGUCCAGAGCCUGAAUCAGUGUGUGUGUUAGUGGAAGCGUCUGGAAAGGCGCGCGAUACAGGGUGACAGCCCCGUACACAAAAAUGCACAU